This 253-nucleotide ribosomal RNA is filed under the name uncultured bacterium. RNAcentral's name for it is "partial 16S ribosomal RNA". It matches the Rfam family "Bacterial small subunit ribosomal RNA", at positions 524 to 776 of the family's 1533-position model. The record is from RNAcentral.
UACGGAGGGGGCUAGCGUUAUUCGGAAUUAUUGGGCGUAAAGGGCGCGUAGGCGGCCCGGUAAGUCAAAGGUGAAAUCCCUCGGCUCAACUGAGGAACUGCCUUUGAAACUGUCGGGCUUGAGGCCGGGAGGGGGUAGCGGAACUCCCAGUGUAGCGGUGAAAUGCGUAGAUACUGGGAGGAACACCAGUGGCGAAGGCGGCUACCUGGACCGGUUCUGACGCUGAUGCGCGAAAGCGUGGGUAGCAAACAGG